RNAcentral lists this ribosomal RNA (469 nucleotides) under uncultured bacterium. Its description in RNAcentral is "bacterial SSU rRNA". It matches the Rfam family "Bacterial small subunit ribosomal RNA", at positions 28 to 362 of the family's 1533-position model. The record is from RNAcentral.
GACGAACGCUGGCGGCGUGCCUAACACAUGCAAGUCGAGCGGUCCUGCAUUCAACAUUGAGUAUUCAGCAGGCGUUGGAGAUGUAACCAGCGUCAAGCAGAAACGACUAUAUAUUAUAAUUUUUUGAAGUUUCUGCUUCACGCCAAAUCAAGUGCCAACACAAAGGGAGCUGAGUAUUGAAUGUUGAAUGCAGGAUAGCGGCGGACGGGUGAGUAACGCGUGGGCAACCUGCCUCAUACAGGGGGAUAACACAGGGAAACUUGUGCUAAUACCGCAUAAUAUCAUUGGGUGGCAUCACCUGAUGAUCAAAGGGAAAUCCGGUAUGAGAUGGGCCCGCGUCCGAUUAGCUAGUUGGUGAGGUAACGGCUCACCAAGGCGACGAUCGGUAGCCGAACUGAGAGGGUUGAUCGGCACCAUUGGGACUGGAGACACGGCCCCAGACUCCUACGGGAGGCAGGCAGUGGGGAAU